GGAGAUGUAGCUCAAUGGUAGAGCACUUCCCUGGCAUGCAAGAGGCCCUAGAAUACAUCCCCA
This 63-nucleotide transfer RNA is filed under the name Cricetulus griseus (Chinese hamster). It matches the Rfam family "tRNA". From Rfam's summary of the family: Transfer RNA (tRNA) molecules are approximately 80 nucleotides in length. Their secondary structure includes four short double-helical elements and three loops (D, anti-codon, and T loops). Lineage: Eukaryota; Metazoa; Chordata; Mammalia; Rodentia; Cricetidae. The record is from Rfam by way of RNAcentral.